UUAGGACGAACGCUGGCGGCGUGCCUAAUACAUGCAAGUCGAACGGUCUUUUCUAUGGAAGCUUGCUUCCACUGAGAAGAUAGUGGCGAACGGGUGAGUAACACGUGGGUAACCUGCCCAUAAGAGGGGGAUAACAUCCGGAAACGGGUGCUAAUACCGCAUAGUUUUCUUGAUCGCAUGAUCGGGAAAGGAAAGACGGCCUUUGUGCUGUCGCUUAUGGAUGGACCCGCGGCGUAUUAGUUAGUUGGUGAGGUAACGGCUCACCAAGACGAUGAUACGUAGCCGACCUGAGAGGGUGAUCGGCCACAUUGGGACUGAGACACGGCCCAAACUCCUACGGGAGGCAGCAGUAGGGAAUCUUCCGCAAUGGACGAAAGUCUGACGGAGCAACGCCGCGUGAGUGAAAGAAGGUUUUCGGAUCGUAAAACUCUGUUGUCAGAGAAGAACAAGUUGGAGAGUAACUGCUCCAGCCUUGACGGUAUCUGACCAGAAAGCCACGGCUAACUACGUGCCAGCCGCCGC
This 522-nucleotide ribosomal RNA is filed under the name uncultured bacterium. Its description in RNAcentral is "bacterial SSU rRNA". It matches the Rfam family "Bacterial small subunit ribosomal RNA", at positions 24 to 518 of the family's 1533-position model. The record is from RNAcentral.